Molecule: non-coding RNA, 28 nt
Filed under: Bombyx mori (domestic silkworm)
Lineage: Eukaryota; Metazoa; Arthropoda; Insecta; Lepidoptera; Bombycidae
Source: RNAcentral
UCCGUCAGAACCUGGAUGAGUUUCGAGC